AUUGAACGCUGACGGAAUGCUUUACACAUGCAAGUCGAGCGGCAGCGCGGGGGCAACCCUGGCGGCGAGCGGCGAACGGGUGAGUAAUGUAUCGGAACGUACCUCGUCGUGGGGGAUAACGCACCGAAAGGUGUGCUAAUACCGCAUACGUCNUGAGGGAGAAAGCGGGGGAUCGCAAGACCUCGCGCGAUGAGAGCGGCCGAUAUCUGAUUAGCUAGUUGGUGGGGUAAAGGCUCACCAAGGCGACGAUCAGUAGCUGGUCUGAGAGGACGACCAGCCACACUGGGACUGAGACACGGCCCAGACUCCUACGGGAGGCAACAGUGGGGAAUUUUGGACAAUGGGGGAAACCCUGAUCCAGCCAUUCCGCGUGAGUGAAGAAGGCCUUCGGGUUGUAAAGCUCUUUCAGCAGGAACGAAACGGGGGCGGCUAAUACCUGCUCCUAAUGACGGUACCUGAAGAAGAAGCACCGGCUAACUACGUGCCAGCAGCCGCGGUAAUACGUAGGGUGCGAGCGUUAAUCGGAAUUACUGGGCGUAAAGCGUGCGCAGGCGGUUAUUUAAGACAGAUGUGAAAUCCCCGGGCUCAACCUGGGAACUGCGUUUGUGACUGGAUAGCUGGAGUAUGGCAGAGGGGGGUGGAAUUCCACGUGUAGCAGUGAAAUGCGUAGAGAUGUGGAGGAACACCGAUGGCGAAGGCAGCCCCCUGGGCCAAUACUGACGCUCAUGCACGAAA
RNAcentral lists this ribosomal RNA (735 nucleotides) under uncultured bacterium. RNAcentral's name for it is "bacterial SSU rRNA". It matches the Rfam family "Bacterial small subunit ribosomal RNA", at positions 28 to 758 of the family's 1533-position model. The record is from RNAcentral.